UUUCAAUUGUGUUUUUAUCUUCUACUCCUAUGCAUAAAUGAAAAUCAUUGAGUAAAUUAAAACAAACAUCUAGCAAAGUUUUAGGAAAAAUAAAUAAUAGCAAAUAAAAGAGUAUACUAUAUGUCAAGUAGUGGAGUGAUGAUGAUGAGUUCAUUUAGCCUUAAACCCUCUCUCUUAAGUGUAGAAAAGGCAUCAAUAGCAAGGCCUUCAAACUCCAAAUUGAUAGUCAAGGCCAGUGGGGGCAAGAAGAUCACUACCGAUAAACCUUAUGGAAUUAAUGGAGGCUUGAACUUGCAAGAUGGUGUUGAUGCCUCUGGCAGGAAGGCCAAGGGAAAGGGUGUUUACCAAUUCGUGAAGAAAUAUGGAGCUAAUGUUGAUGGA
Molecule: unclassified non-coding RNA, 381 nt
Filed under: Hevea brasiliensis (rubber tree)
Lineage: Eukaryota; Viridiplantae; Streptophyta; Magnoliopsida; Malpighiales; Euphorbiaceae
Source: RNAcentral